UACAGAGGGUGCAAGCGUUGUUCGGAAUUAUUGGGCGUAAAGAGCUCGUAGGCGGUCUGUCGCGUCGGCUGUGAAAACUCGGGGCUCAACUCCGAGCUUGCAGUCGAUACGGGCAGGCUAGAGUUCGGCAGGGGAGACCGGAAUUCCUGGUGUAGCGGUGAAAUGCGCAGAUAUCAGGAGGAACACCGGUGGCGAAGGCGGGUCUCUGGGCCGAUACUGACGCUGAGGAGCGAAAGCGUGGGGAGCGAACAGG
Molecule: ribosomal RNA, 253 nt
Filed under: uncultured bacterium
Lineage: Bacteria
Description: partial 16S ribosomal RNA
Rfam family: Bacterial small subunit ribosomal RNA
Source: RNAcentral